Molecule: ribosomal RNA, 1228 nt
Filed under: Latilactobacillus sakei
Lineage: Bacteria; Bacillati; Bacillota; Bacilli; Lactobacillales; Lactobacillaceae
Description: bacterial SSU rRNA
Rfam family: Bacterial small subunit ribosomal RNA
Source: RNAcentral
UUAGUUAGUUGGUGAGGUAAAGGCUCACCAAGACCGUGAUGCAUAGCCGACCUGAGAGGGUAAUCGGCCACACUGGGACUGAGACACGGCCCAGACUCCUACGGGAGGCAGCAGUAGGGAAUCUUCCACAAUGGACGAAAGUCUGAUGGAGCAACGCCGCGUGAGUGAAGAAGGUUUUCGGAUCGUAAAACUCUGUUGUUGGAGAAGAAUGUAUCUGAUAGUAACUGAUCAGGUAGUGACGGUAUCCAACCAGAAAGCCACGGCUAACUACGUGCCAGCAGCCGCGGUAAUACGUAGGUGGCAAGCGUUGUCCGGAUUUAUUGGGCGUAAAGCGAGCGCAGGCGGUUUCUUAAGUCUGAUGUGAAAGCCUUCGGCUCAACCGAAGAAGUGCAUCGGAAACUGGGAAACUUGAGUGCAGAAGAGGACAGUGGAACUCCAUGUGUAGCGGUGAAAUGCGUAGAUAUAUGGAAGAACACCAGUGGCGAAGGCGGCUGUCUGGUCUGUAACUGACGCUGAGGCUCGAAAGCAUGGGUAGCAAACAGGAUUAGAUACCCUGGUAGUCCAUGCCGUAAACGAUGAGUGCUAGGUGUUGGAGGGUUUCCGCCCUUCAGUGCCGCAGCUAACGCAUUAAGCACUCCGCCUGGGGAGUACGACCGCAAGGUUGAAACUCAAAGGAAUUGACGGGGGCCCGCACAAGCGGUGGAGCAUGUGGUUUAAUUCGAAGCAACGCGAAGAACCUUACCAGGUCUUGACAUCCUUUGACCACUCUAGAGAUAGAGCUUUCCCUUCGGGGACAAAGUGACAGGUGGUGCAUGGUUGUCGUCAGCUCGUGUCGUGAGAUGUUGGGUUAAGUCCCGCAACGAGCGCAACCCUUAUUACUAGUUGCCAGCAUUUAGUUGGGCACUCUAGUGAGACUGCCGGUGACAAACCGGAGGAAGGUGGGGACGACGUCAAAUCAUCAUGCCCCUUAUGACCUGGGCUACACACGUGCUACAAUGGAUGGUACAACGAGUUGCGAGACCGCGAGGUUUAGCUAAUCUCUUAAAACCAUUCUCAGUUCGGAUUGUAGGCUGCAACUCGCCUACAUGAAGCCGGAAUCGCUAGUAAUCGCGGAUCAGCAUGCCGCGGUGAAUACGUUCCCGGGCCUUGUACACACCGCCCGUCACACCAUGAGAGUUUGUAACACCCAAAGCCGGUGAGGUAACCCUUCGGGAGCCAGCCGUCUAAG